RNAcentral lists this ribosomal RNA (1217 nucleotides) under Dictyoptera aurora. RNAcentral's name for it is "16S ribosomal RNA". The stretch from base 1007 to 1165 matches the Rfam family "Archaeal large subunit ribosomal RNA", at positions 2542 to 2701 of the family's 2987-position model. Lineage: Eukaryota; Metazoa; Arthropoda; Insecta; Coleoptera; Lycidae. The record is from RNAcentral.
UAUUAUAUUUUGAAAGUAUUCUUUAGUUUUUAUAUUUAUGAUUGACUUUUUUUUAUGAUAGUUGACUAGUAAUGUAGGUGAAAUUUAAUAUUAAUUAAAAUUUUUUAAGAAGAUUUAAUUUUUUGUACCUUUUGUAUCAGGGUUUAUUAAAUAAUAAUUUUAUAUUUAAUUUUUCUCGAUUUAAGAAGAUUUAAUAAAUUAUUUAUUUUUAUGUAGAAUUAUAAUUUUUAAUAAUUUAUUGGUAGCGAAACGUUAUUCGUUUUUUAAUAUAUCUAGUUUUUUAAGAAAAAAAUUUAAUUUUUUUAUUUAAAUUUUUAAUUAUUAUUGUUUAUAGUUGAAUAAUAAAUAUUAAAUAUAUAAUGGGAUAAGCUGUUAUAUAAAUUAUUAAAAAUAAAUUUAUUUUAAUUAUUAGUAUAAUUAAUAUUGUUAAUCUAUUAUAUAAUUUUAUAAUUAUUAUUUAAGUUUAUAUAAUUUAUAUUUAUUUUAAGUUUUUUAUUAAAAUAAAACUUUAAAUUUUGUUAAGUUUGUUAUUAUGAUAAAAUUAGUAAUUAUAUUAUGUUUAAAAUAAGUGUUGGUGAGGUUAUUUAAAGUAAUUCGGCAAAAGAUUUUACGCCUGUUUAUUAAAAACAUGUUUUUUUGAUUAUAAUUUAAAAUUUGAUCUGCUCAAUGAUUAUUUAAAUUGCCGCAGUAUUUUAACUGUGCAAAGGUAGCAUAAUAAUUAGUUUCUUGAUUAGAAGCUGGAAUGAAUGAUUGGACGAUAAAAUAACUGUCUCUAUUUAAUUAUUUUAUGAAUUUUAUUUUUAAGUUAAAAAGCUUAAAUUUUAUUAAAAGACGAGAAGACCCUAUAGAGUUUAAUAUUAUUUAGGUUUUUAAUUUUUGGAAUAAUUUUAAAUUUAUUAUUAUUUAGUUGGGGUGACUUGAAAAUUUAUUAAAUUUUUUAAAAUUUUAAUUUUUUAUUUGAAAUUUUAUAAUCUAUAUUUUUAAAUUUAAAAUAAAUUACCUUAGGGAUAACAGCGUAAUUUUUCUUUAAAGUUCUUAUUGAAAGGAAAGGUUGCGACCUCGAUGUUGGAUUAAAAUUAAUUCUAGGUGCAGUAGCUUAGGGAUUAAGUCUGUUCGACUUUUAAAAUUUUACAUGAUCUGAGUUUAGACCGGCGUGAGCCAGGUCGGAUUCUAUCUUUAAUCUAAUUUAAUAUUUUAGUACGAAAGGACCAUAUAUU